UACGAAGGGGGCUAGCGUUGUUCGGAAUCACUGGGCUUAAAGCGUGUGUAGGCGGACUUCUAAGUGCCUUGUGAAAUCCCACGGCUCAACCGUGGAACUGCUGGGCAUACUGGGAGUCUUGGGCCAUUCAGGGGCAACUGGAACAAGCGGUGGAGCGGUGAAAUGCGUAGAUAUCGCUUGGAACGCCGAAGGUGAAAACAGGUUGCUGGGGAUGUGCCGACGCUGAGACACGAAAGCCAGGGGAGCGAACGGG
Molecule: ribosomal RNA, 253 nt
Filed under: uncultured bacterium
Lineage: Bacteria
Description: partial 16S ribosomal RNA
Rfam family: Bacterial small subunit ribosomal RNA
Source: RNAcentral